CACGUAGGGGGCGAGCGUUAUCCGGAUUCAUUGGGCGUAAAGCGCGCGCAGGCGGCCGUGCAGUUCGGGACCCGGCCCGGGGUUGAGCCCCGGGGUUAGAGGUCCCGCUUGCACGGCUCGCUGCAGGUAGGGGCAGGCGGAAUUCCCGGUGUAGCGGUGGAAUGCGCAGAUAUCGGGAAGAACACCGACGGCGAAGGCAGCCUGCUGGGCCUGUGAGGACGCUGAGGCGCGAAAGCCGGGGGAGCGAACA
Molecule: ribosomal RNA, 250 nt
Filed under: uncultured prokaryote
Description: partial 16S ribosomal RNA
Rfam family: Bacterial small subunit ribosomal RNA
Source: RNAcentral